AUAAAAUAAUUAUGUUUUUGGAAUUUAUUAUAAAUUUAUUUUACAUAUAAAUUUUAGUAUAUAAUUUUAAUUAUUUUAAAAAUAAUUAAUUUAAUUUUAGUAGUAAUUAAUAUUAAAAAUUUAAGAAAUUAAGAUUUAGUAAUAUAAAAAUUAAUAACUAAUUUUGUGCCAGCAGUUGCGGUUAAACAAAAGUUAAAUUAAAUUGUUUCAGUAUAUAAUAAAUAAUUAAAUUAUUAAAAUAAAUGUUAAAUUAUUAAGUGAAAUUUUAAUUUAACUAAAUUUUAUUUUUAAAUUAUGAUUUAAUAAAUUUUAAUGUAAACUAGGAUUAGAUACCCUAUUAUUAAAAAUUUAAUUUAUAAUACUAAAAUAGUAAAUAAUAAUUUAUUGAAACUUAAAUAACAUGGCGGUAUUUUAGUUCAUUUAGAGGAAUCUGUCUAAUAAUUGAUAAUCCACGAAUAAAUUUACUUAAUUUAUAAUUUUGUAUAUCAUUGUUAAAAAAAUAUUUUUAAGGAAAAAUAAUAUUUAAUAUUUAAUAUUAAAAGUUAAAUCAGAUCAAGAUGCAGAAUAUAAUUAAGAAUAUGAUGGAUUACAAUAAUUAUAAUUAAAUGAAUAAUUUUUUUUUGUAAUAAAAAUUUGAAGGUGGAUUUAAAUGUAAUUUUAAUUAAUUUAUUAAAAUGAUUAAAAAUUAAAAUAUGUACAUAUUGCCCGUCACUUUCAUUUGAAAAUUGAAAUAAGUCGUAACAAAGUAGAGGUACUGGAAAGUGUUUCUAGAAAGA
Molecule: non-coding RNA, 776 nt
Filed under: Junonia iphita (chocolate pansy)
Lineage: Eukaryota; Metazoa; Arthropoda; Insecta; Lepidoptera; Nymphalidae
Also listed under: 1 other name
Source: RNAcentral